RNAcentral lists this ribosomal RNA (49 nucleotides) under Hypocrella calendulina. Its description in RNAcentral is "partial 28S ribosomal RNA". The record is from RNAcentral. Lineage: Eukaryota; Fungi; Ascomycota; Sordariomycetes; Hypocreales; Clavicipitaceae. RNAcentral also lists the same sequence under 1 other name.
GUUGACCUCGAAUCAGGUAGGACUACCCGCUGAACUUAAGCAUAUCAUA